CCAAUAGCGUAUAUUAAAGUUGUUGCCGUUAAAAAGCUCGUAGUUGAACUUCGGGAUCAAUGGAUCGGUCAUGCCAUCGGUAUGUACUGGUCUCAUUGGUUCUCACCUUCUAAGGAACCAUAAUGUCAUUCAUUUGAUGUUUUGGGGAAUUAGGACUGUUACCUUGAAAAAAUUAGAGUGUUUAAAGCAGGCUAACGCUUGAAUACAUUAGCAUGGAAUAAUGAAAUAGGACAUCGCAUUCUAUUUUGUUGGUUUCUAGGAUCGAUGUAAUGAUUAAUAGGGAUAGUUGGGGGCAUUAGUAUUCAAUUGUCAGAGGUGAAAUUCUUGGAUUUAUUGAAGACUAACUACUGCGAAAGCAUUUGCCAAGGAUGUUUUCAUUAAUCAAGAACGAAAGUUAGGGGAUCGAAGACGAUCAGAUACCGUCGUAGUCUUAACCAUAAACUAUGCCGACUAGGGAUCGGAUGAUGUUGAUUUUUUAAUGACUCAUUCGGCACCUUACG
This 500-nucleotide ribosomal RNA is filed under the name uncultured Glomeromycotina. RNAcentral describes it as "partial small subunit ribosomal RNA". It matches the Rfam family "Eukaryotic small subunit ribosomal RNA", at positions 591 to 1092 of the family's 1831-position model. Lineage: Eukaryota; Fungi; Glomeromycota. The record is from RNAcentral.